UCUCCGUCCCUGAGACCCUAACUUGUGACGUUAUGUUCUUCAUGUCCACGGGUUAGGCUCUCGGGAGCUGAG
Molecule: microRNA precursor, 72 nt
Filed under: Xyrichtys novacula (pearly razorfish)
Lineage: Eukaryota; Metazoa; Chordata; Actinopteri; Labriformes; Labridae
Rfam family: lin-4 microRNA precursor family
About the family: The extents of the hairpin precursors are not generally known and are estimated based on hairpin prediction. The products are thought to have regulatory roles through complementarity to mRNA. The involvement of Dicer in miRNA processing suggests a relationship with the phenomenon of RNA interference.
Source: RNAcentral